AUUGAACGCUGGCGGAAUGCUUUACACAUGCAAGUCGAACGGCAGCACGGACUUCGGUCUGGUGGCGAGUGGCGAACGGGUGAGUAAUGUAUCGGAACGUGCCCAGUCGUGGGGGAUAACGUAGUGAAAAUUACGCUAAUACCGCAUAUGAUCUAUGGAUGAAAGCGGGGGAUCGCAAGACCUCGCGCGAUUGGAGCGGCCGAUAUCAGAUUAGUAGUUGGUGGGGUAAAGGCCCACCAAGCCAACGAUCUGUAGCUGGUCUGAGAGGACGACCAGCCACACUGGAACUGAGACACGGUCCAGACUCCUACGGGAGGCAGCAGUGGGGAAUUUUGGACAAUGGGCGAAAGCCUGAUCCAGCCAUUCCGCGUGCAGGAUGAAGGCCCUCGGGUUGUAAACUGCUUUUGUACAAAACGAAAAGGUUUCUACUAAUACUAGGAGCUCAUGACGGUACUGUAAGAAUAAGCACCGGCUAACUACGUGCCAGCCGCCGCCGUAA
This 499-nucleotide ribosomal RNA is filed under the name uncultured bacterium. RNAcentral's name for it is "partial 16S ribosomal RNA". It matches the Rfam family "Bacterial small subunit ribosomal RNA", at positions 30 to 523 of the family's 1533-position model. The record is from RNAcentral.